GACAAGGAGUGGAAUCACCGUGUGCCUAAUUCCGACCGUACCGCGGGUUGAUGCGAUGUCAGGCGUCUUAUGAAUGCCGUGCGAUCCACUGGCGUCAGGCGUCCAGUCGGUGUCAGACAUCCAGUCGGUGUCAGACGUCCCAUUCCGUCGGCGUCAGGUGUCACGUCGGCGUCAGGAGGUCGGAUGUCGGACGAUUCGGUGUCAGACGAUCGGAUGUCCGGCGCCUUUUGGGGAACGCAAACCGUCGCCCGACGCCGAUUCUGGGAGCGCGGGGCGCUGUCAGGCGUCCCAUCGGAAACGCGAAUCGCC
Molecule: long non-coding RNA, 309 nt
Filed under: Elaeis guineensis (African oil palm)
Lineage: Eukaryota; Viridiplantae; Streptophyta; Magnoliopsida; Arecales; Arecaceae
Description: long non-coding RNA (EGUI_LNC026454)
Source: RNAcentral